This 73-nucleotide transfer RNA is filed under the name Kosmotoga arenicorallina S304. It matches the Rfam family "tRNA". Rfam says of the family: Transfer RNA (tRNA) molecules are approximately 80 nucleotides in length. Their secondary structure includes four short double-helical elements and three loops (D, anti-codon, and T loops). The record is from Rfam by way of RNAcentral. Lineage: Bacteria; Thermotogati; Thermotogota; Thermotogae; Kosmotogales; Kosmotogaceae.
GCCAACGUAGCUCAACUGGUAGAGCGGCUGACUUGUAAUCAGCAGGUUGGGGGUUCGAGUCCCUUCGUUGGCU